AGUGAACGCUGGCGGUAGGCCUAACACAUGCAAGUCGAACGGCAGCACAGUAAGAGCUUGCUCUUACGGGUGGCGAGUGGCGGACGGGUGAGGAAUACAUCGGAAUCUACUUUUUCGUGGGGGAUAACGUAGGGAAACUUACGCUAAUACCGCAUACGACCUACGGGUGAAAUCAGGGGAUCUUCGGACCUUGCGCGAUUGAAUGAGCCGAUGUCGGAUUAGCUAGUUGGCGGGGUAAAGGCCCACCAAGGCGACGAUCCGUAGCUGGUCUGAGAGGAUGAUCGGCCACACUGGAACUGAGACACGGUCCAGACUCCUACGGGAGGCAGCAGUGGGGAAUAUUGGACAAUGGGCGAAAGCCUGAUCCAGCCAUGCCGCGUGAGUGAUGAAGGCCUUCGGGUUGUAAAACCCUUUUGUUGGGAAAGAAAAGCAGCGGAUUAAUACCCCGCUGUUCUGACGGUACCCAAAGAGUAAGCACCGGCUAACUUCGUG
This 492-nucleotide ribosomal RNA is filed under the name uncultured bacterium. Its description in RNAcentral is "partial 16S ribosomal RNA". It matches the Rfam family "Bacterial small subunit ribosomal RNA", at positions 29 to 507 of the family's 1533-position model. The record is from RNAcentral.